This 738-nucleotide ribosomal RNA is filed under the name uncultured Lachnospiraceae bacterium. RNAcentral describes it as "bacterial SSU rRNA". It matches the Rfam family "Bacterial small subunit ribosomal RNA", at positions 29 to 766 of the family's 1533-position model. The record is from RNAcentral. Lineage: Bacteria; Bacillati; Bacillota; Clostridia; Lachnospirales; Lachnospiraceae.
ACGAACGCUGGCGGCGUGCUUAACACAUGCAAGUCGAACGAGAAUCACUGGAAGGAGUUUUCGGACAACGGAAGGUGAGGACAGUGGCGGACGGGUGAGUAACGCGUGAGGAACCUGCCUUUCAGAGGGGGACAACAGUUGGAAACGACUGCUAAUACCGCAUGACACAUAGAGAUCGCAUGGUUUUUAUGUCAAAGAUUUAUCGCUGAAAGAUGGCCUCGCGUCUGAUUAGCUAGUUGGUGAGGUAACGGCCCACCAAGGCGACGAUCAGUAGCCGGACUGAGAGGUUGACCGGCCACAUUGGGACUGAGAUACGGCCCAGACUCCUACGGGAGGCAGCAGUGGGGAAUAUUGGGCAAUGGGCGCAAGCCUGACCCAGCAACGCCGCGUGAAGGAAGAAGGCUUUCGGGUUGUAAACUUCUUUUGUCGGGGACGAGUAGAAGACGGUACCUGGCGAAUAAGCCACGGCUAACUACGUGCCAGCAGCCGCGGUAAUACGUAGGUGGCAAGCGUUGUCCGGAUUUACUGGGUGUAAAGGGCGUGUAGCCGGGAAGGCAAGUCAGAUGUGAAAUCCACGGGCUUAACUCGUGAACUGCAUUUGAAACUACUUUUCUUGAGUAUCGGAGAGGCAAUCGGAAUUCCUAGUGUAGCGGUGAAAUGCGUAGAUAUUAGGAGGAACACCAGUGGCGAAGGCGGAUUGCUGGACGACAACUGACGGUGAGGCGCGAAAGCGUGGGG